GACGAACGCUGGCGGCGUGCUUAACACAUGCAAGUCGAACGGAAAGGCCCUGCUUUUGUGGGGUGCUCGAGUGGCGAACGGGUGAGUAACACGUGAGUAUCCUGCCCUUGACUUUGGGAUAACUUCAGGAAACUGGGGCUAAUACCGGAUAGGAGCUCCUGCUGCAUGGUGGGGGUUGGAAAGUGUCGGCGGUUGGGGAUGGACUCGCGGCUUAUCAGUUUGUUGGUGGGGUAGUGGCUUACCAAGGCAUUGACGGGUAGCCGGCAUGAGAGGGUGGCCGGCCACAAGGGGACUGAGGUACGGCCCAGACGCCUACGGGAGACAGCAGUGGGAAGUAUUGCACAGUGAGCGGGAGCCUGAUGCGACAGCGCCGCGGGCGUGAUGACGUCCUUUGGGGUGUAAACCGCUUUCGCCUAAGACGAAGCGUGAGUGACGGUAGUGUGUGAAGAAGCACCGGCUAACUACGUG
RNAcentral lists this ribosomal RNA (468 nucleotides) under uncultured bacterium. Its description in RNAcentral is "partial 16S ribosomal RNA". It matches the Rfam family "Bacterial small subunit ribosomal RNA", at positions 28 to 507 of the family's 1533-position model. The record is from RNAcentral.